RNAcentral lists this ribosomal RNA (373 nucleotides) under uncultured organism. RNAcentral's name for it is "bacterial SSU rRNA". It matches the Rfam family "Bacterial small subunit ribosomal RNA", at positions 526 to 896 of the family's 1533-position model. The record is from RNAcentral.
CGGGGGGAGCAAGCGUUGUUCGGAUUUACUGGGCGUAAAGGGCGCGUAGGCGGCGCAACAAGUCACUUGUGAAAUCUCCGGGCUUAACCCGGAGCGGCCAAGUGAUACUGUCGUGCUAGAGUGCGGAAGGGGCUACUGGAAUUCUCGGUGUAGCGGUGAAAUGCGUAGAUAUCGAGAGGAACACCUGCGGCGAAGGCGGGUAGCUGGGCCGACACUGACGCUGAGGCGCGAAAGCCAGGGGAGCGAACGGGAUUAGAUACCCCGGUAGUCCUGGCCUUAAACGAUGGACGCUUGGUGUCCGGGGUUACAUAGUCCCCGGGUGCCGGCGCUAACGCAUUAAGCAUCCCGCCUGGGGAGUACGGUCGCAAGACUG